Salmo salar (Atlantic salmon) is the source of this 408-nucleotide non-coding RNA. Lineage: Eukaryota; Metazoa; Chordata; Actinopteri; Salmoniformes; Salmonidae. The record is from RefSeq and is a predicted model, not a curated record.
GAACCAGAAGGAGCUUGCUGACACACUGGAGAAAUAUUCAGAUGAGCUUGCUGUGAUUUGCCAACGUGAACUCAAAUCUAAUCUAAAGAAGAAGUUUCAAUGUGUAUUUGAGGGGAUCGCUAAACAAGGAAACCCAACACUUCUCAAUAAGAUCUACACAGAGCUCUACAUCACAGAGGGUGGAACAGGAGAGGUCAAUAAUGAACAUGAGCUGAGACAGAUAGAGACAACAACCAGGAAACAAGCAAGACCAGAGACUCCAAUCAAAUGUAACGACAUCUUCAAACACUUAACUGGACAAGACCAACGUUUCAGAGCUGUGCUGACAAAGGGAGUCGCUGGCAUUGGAAAAACAGUCUCUGUGCAGAAGUUCAUUCUGGACUGGGCUGAAGGAAAAGCAAAUCAGGA